This 104-nucleotide small nuclear RNA is filed under the name Rhinopithecus bieti (black snub-nosed monkey). The record is from RNAcentral. Lineage: Eukaryota; Metazoa; Chordata; Mammalia; Primates; Cercopithecidae.
GUGCUCACUUGAGCAGCACAUACACUGAAAUUGGAAUGAUACAGGGAUUAGCAUGGCCCCUGCACAAGGAUAAUAUGCAAAUUCAUAAAGUGUUCCAUUUUAAA